AUUACCUAUAUGGAUGUAGUGUAUGGUUUUAGGGUCCAAGUUGCUGAGGUGAAGACAAACUCACGAAGCUGUUUCUCUAAUACAGUAGUACAGGAAUUCAUCAACCCAGAAAAAGAAUACAGAGAGGGCUUGAUGGACCUAAAUAUAUGGGAAAGAAUGAAUAGAAGACGAAGGUAUCAUGUGUAGCUUGAGGACAUGAGGUAGGAAACUAGUACUUAUAUAACUACUGUGUAAGAUUAACUGUUUUUCUGUUAGAUUUAUAGGCUCCUAUUAUAUGCCUUGUAUUCCGGCGCAUAAACAUGACUAGAUGAGGCCCACAACUCUGAA
This is a long non-coding RNA of Hordeum vulgare subsp. vulgare (domesticated barley), 327 nucleotides long. RefSeq lists it as uncharacterized. The transcript has 2 exons. NCBI's taxonomy places the organism in Eukaryota, Viridiplantae, Streptophyta, Magnoliopsida, Poales, Poaceae. The record is from RefSeq and is a predicted model, not a curated record.